RNAcentral lists this ribosomal RNA (125 nucleotides) under Orbilia fimicola. Its description in RNAcentral is "partial small subunit ribosomal RNA". It matches the Rfam family "Eukaryotic small subunit ribosomal RNA", at positions 1657 to 1779 of the family's 1831-position model. The record is from RNAcentral. Lineage: Eukaryota; Fungi; Ascomycota; Orbiliomycetes; Orbiliales; Orbiliaceae.
CCUUUGUACACACCGCCCGUCGCUACUACCGAUUGAAUGGCUCAGUGAGGCCUUCGGAUUGACUCCAGUUGAUCGGCAACGUUCUUCAGGAGCCGAGAAGUUGGUCAAACUUGGUCAUUUAGAGG